UACGGAGGGUGCGAGCGUUAAUCGGAAUUACUGGGCGUAAAGCGCGCGUAGGUGGCUGGAUAAGCCGGUUGUGAAAGCCCCGGGCUCAACCUGGGAACGGCAUCCGGAACUGUCAGGCUAGAGUGCAGGAGAGGAAGGUAGAAUUCCCGGUGUAGCGGUGAAAUGCGUAGAGAUCGGGAGGAAUACCAGUGGCGAAGGCGGCCUUCUGGACUGACACUGACACUGAGGUGCGAAAGCGUGGGUAGCAAACAGG
RNAcentral lists this ribosomal RNA (253 nucleotides) under uncultured microorganism. RNAcentral's name for it is "partial 16S ribosomal RNA". It matches the Rfam family "Bacterial small subunit ribosomal RNA", at positions 524 to 776 of the family's 1533-position model. The record is from RNAcentral.